This 380-nucleotide ribosomal RNA is filed under the name uncultured eukaryote. RNAcentral's name for it is "partial 18S ribosomal RNA". It matches the Rfam family "Eukaryotic small subunit ribosomal RNA", at positions 592 to 976 of the family's 1831-position model. The record is from RNAcentral.
CAAUAGCGUAUAUUAAAGUUGUUGCAGUUAAAAAGCUCGUAGUUGGAUUUGUGGCGUACGGUGUGUUCCGGGCACUUGUUGUCUGAGUAACCUGCUGUUGCCAUCCUUGGGUGGAACCUGUGUGGCAUUAGGUUGUCGUGCAGGGGAUGCCCAUCAUUUACUGUGAAAAAAUUAGAGUGUUCAAAGCAGGCUUAUGCCGUUGAAUAUAUUAGCAUGGAAUAACGAGAUAGGACUUUUUUGCUAUUUUGUUGGUUUGCGCAAAGAGGUAAUGAUUAAUAGGGACAGUUGGGGGUAUUCGUAUUCCAUUGUCAGAGGUGAAAUUCUUGGAUUUCUGGAAGACGAACUACUGCGAAAGCAUUUACCAAGGAUGUUUUCAUUAA